This is a long non-coding RNA of Bombus terrestris (buff-tailed bumblebee), 3051 nucleotides long. RefSeq lists it as uncharacterized. The transcript has 2 exons. Lineage: Eukaryota; Metazoa; Arthropoda; Insecta; Hymenoptera; Apidae. The record is from RefSeq and is a predicted model, not a curated record.
UCUUCGCUGCUUGGAACAGAAGAAAAAUCAGACAGAGAAUAUUCGUUCUAUCGUUUCCCGUUUAUUCUUCCAUGCGGAAUCGCCGCUGAUUUGUAACGCAUAAAAAUACCGGGACACUCUGCAUAUCGAUGUAACGAACAGCAACAUGUAACAUCACACGACAAUGCGAUAAACGUAUAAUAUUAACAUGUCUAUUGUUAAUGUUAUUAUUACGUUCCAUUGUAUCGUAUUGUAUCUUAAUUCUUUAUCCUCUCGAGGCUAUUGCGUCUAUUACAAUCUAUUCUCGAUGAACUAAGAAAGUUUGUCAGAAAGUUUAUUGAAAAAUUGUUAUAACAUCUUGAAGUUUAUUUUUUCUUUGUAUAAAACACAUGUUCUCUUUAAACCUGCCAAAAUGUUUAAUUUCACGCUAUUUUCUGCUUUUUUUUUUUAGUUCAUCGAGGAGAAAAAUGUAUAAUAAUUUAAUCCUCUUUUGGUUUUCUGUUUCAGGCAAGAAUUACGAGGUGGAUCUUCCCCGCCGAUUGAAAACUGCAGCCCGUGAACUAGGCUUAGAAAUCUGUUCUAAUUUCUUUCUUUACUUAAAAAAGAAUUUUUUUAUAUUUCUUAAAUAUAUAUGAAACCAUACCUCAAAAUUCAAUAACUUCGUUUCUUUCCUACUCUUUUAAACAAAAUUUUAGAACAUUCCAAUUCAGGACGCCCCCUUAAUUUAUUGCUUCAAGAUGAAUCUUAAUUUCUCGUUUGUCUAAAUACCGCUAUAUCUUGGUAUAACGCGUUAACGAUAUUGCAUAGAUCUGUAUGUACAUUAACGUUUAUUGGGAGAGAAAUUGCAGGAACAACGGUAACGAAAGCCGCGAAACAACGACACACGCACAACGUGGACAAAUUACAUAAAGUUACAAAAAUACAGGAUCGGAGCUAACGAAAAGAAACAAAGGGCAACGACAAUUAUUCCGAGUGAGAUGCUGCUUUGUUCUUGAAACGGCGAUAGCAGGUGAAAACUGGACGUGUAAUGGUAACGGGACAAGAGAUAAGCGAUAAUGAGCGAGAGACAAAAGGGAAGAAAAUUGUCAUUUAUUUUGUACUCGACAAGGGAUCAUCUGGCAACGUCAAACGAUACCAAAGUGUGUUAAUUUGUUUUUGUAAUUAGUAUGAUUUACAUUAUAUCGCAUAUACACUAUAUCUACGCUAUACACCUCGCUGGUAAGUAUUAGCUUGGCCAUUAAGUGAUCGCGGAUUUUGUCAAUAGAUUGUAUGGAGAAAAUCUACAAUCACUUAGUUGCCAAGCCAAUAAUUACAACGUUUAGGAGAACUCAAGUCCUUAUGAAAUUACAGGAAUCUUGGACUGUAAAUUUUGCGCUACGAAGGAAGCGGAUAGAUUGAACGUGAUAAUAAUAAGAAUAGCGACGAUGUUGCUUACAGGUGCGUGGAUAAUCGGCAGAUUGCCAGAGAUGCUUGGCCACUACUCACGUUUUUGAUAUUCCACUUCAAGAAGGGUGGGAAAACGAUCGCACAGAACACAACUCCAAAGGCGAACAGAGAGCCACCGAUGAUUCCAAGUUUCUUCGGCUUUAUCAUAGUAACACGCUGCAACAAUCACGGUUAGCCAUAUAAGUGGAGUUUGUCGAUGAAACGCUAUGGCGAUAAGUGGGCCGAUGUACGUAGAUUAACGUCAAUAACGGAAACACAAAAUGUAGGCAAAAUACAGCGAAGCGAUAACUAUGACGCGUAAGCGAGUAAUAAGUUUCUGUUCGAACCUUCGAUAUACCAUAAAUAUAAACUGAGAAACUUUGCGAACUCGAGCAUGAAUAGUUUAUAUAUAGUUGCUAUACCACGGCAGAAGGGAAAACGCUUCUUCUUCGACCGACGCUGGUGAAAAUGAAAAGGAAAACAGAAAAUGACGAAGAACAACGAAGGAAGAAAAUUAAGCGAUAAAUGCGACGAAGGGGACGAAGAAACGAGAACCUGCUUUUCGUCUGAAUGCACGCGACAAAAUGACUCGAAUGACAGAAAACGGAAACGAAAAAGGGCAAAGUGAGUAAAAGCGACGAAGGAAAAGAGAUCUAGCGUUUGUCGACGCGUGGAUCGAUCAUCUUUGUCGAAUAACCAUAGGAAAGGAAAUAAUAAAUAAGUAAAUAGCAAGGUAAACUUCGUUUCGUAGAUAUUAAACUAUGGAAAAAAGAAGAGAAAAUAUCGAUCGAUAGAAAGAAGAAUAUAAAUAAAAUACCAAAAAAAAGAGAAAAAGAUAGAAGUUAAACGCAAUCUCGAAGACCGAUAAAAAUUCUGAAAACCCGGUUAUUCGAUGAAGUUGUGGAAACCUUGUGUCCGUUCGGAGCACGCAGCGUUUCAUGAAGCUUUCGUCCGGUCGUUAAAAACGAAAGUAGACCCAAAAGCGACGAGUACCAGGUAACCUUAACGCCUCGACGAAAGACACGAGCGGCAAAAUCAUGCGCGAGAGGCUUCAGACGCAUUCCUUUGAAAAUCCUCGAAAAAUCUUCGUCUAUCUACUUCGAGCGAAUAUCGCGAAUUUCUAUGUAUUUUCCGAUCUAACGAUCGCAAGAUCGCUUCUUUAUCAUCGAACCAACCAUCUAACUACUUCUUCUUUCCAACGUUAUACGUAUUUUUUUUUCUUUUUUUUUUUUAAACAUUCUUCUCUUCUCGGUAAGAUACUUUUGAUUAAAAUAGCGUCCUUUAAAAGUAAUCCUUUCAGAUUGUCCUUUUCGACGAAUCCUUCAUGGAUUUAAAUAUUAUCACUGUUCGACGCGACGACGACAAGAGCUUCCCGAGCUUAUUCGCACACCUUGUAAUGGCCGAGCUAGUGGAUACGAUGUCGACUGGCCGAUCGAGAAGAGUACGAGAGGUCGACCGGCUUCCUCGUCCUGUGCCGUUAAUCUUCGAGCGUUCGCGUGAACUGACGGUUUCGAGCUUCGUCGUCGAACGACGGCGACACCGGCAAAACGCCCACUCCUGCGUCACCACGUACAGCCGAUUUUCGCGCUACCUGUGCGAGAGUGGUAGCUGAUCAGAGCUGUUUAGUAAAACAGAUGUCUAUCUUUU